UACGUAGGGGGCAAGCGUUGUCCGGAAUCAUUGGGCGUAAAGCGCGCGUAGGCGGCCAGAUAAGUCCGGUGUGAAAGUCACAGGCUCAACCUGUGAAUGCCGCUGGAAACUGUCUGGCUUGAGUCCGGAAGGGGCGAGUGGAAUUCCUGGUGUAGCGGUGAAAUGCGCAGAUAUCAGGAAGAACACCCGUGGCGAAAGCGGCUCUCUGGGACGGUACUGACGCUGAGACGCGAAAGCGUGGGGAGCGAACAGG
This 253-nucleotide ribosomal RNA is filed under the name uncultured bacterium. RNAcentral describes it as "partial 16S ribosomal RNA". It matches the Rfam family "Bacterial small subunit ribosomal RNA", at positions 524 to 776 of the family's 1533-position model. The record is from RNAcentral.